Cavia porcellus (domestic guinea pig) is the source of this 1188-nucleotide long non-coding RNA. RefSeq lists it as uncharacterized. The transcript has 2 exons. The record is from RefSeq and is a predicted model, not a curated record. NCBI's taxonomy places the organism in Eukaryota, Metazoa, Chordata, Mammalia, Rodentia, Caviidae.
CGUGCGCGCGCACAGCCAGGGAAUCCGCGGAGUGCCGAGUACGUCCGACCACGGUGGCGCAAGACCGGACCGCCGAGUUCGUCACCGGUUGAACCUGCGGACUUGAAGCACGACGGCACCACACCCGGGCCGCAAUGGCGAGGCGGGGAGGAGGCGGGUCCGGGAUCGCCACAAGACCAGCUCCUACUUCUUCCAGCAUGAUUUCCUUGGCAUUUGAAGCACCUCCAGAAGGACUGGCCACUGGGCACAGCUGCUGUCUAUAACUACUGGAAGAGAAGCAAGGAGGGCUGUUAACACUAAUCACUGAGAACACUGGCAUUCAAACCUCAGAACUGCUAAUUCUAAGGGAGCUGCACUUUGCCUCUUUGUGAUUUCUAUCUGAAUUGAGCAAAGGAAUCCUUGGUAGAUUGGUAAUGGAACCCUCAUGAACAGGAUCAAUGACUAGUUUUUUUGUUUGUUUGUUUUGUUUUUUUGUUUUUGUUUUGUCUUUUUGAGAUAGGUCUCACUCUGCAGUUCAGGUUGGCCUUGAGCUCACUUUGUAGCCCAGGCUGGUCUCAAACAACAGUCUUCCUGCCUCAGCCUCCUGAGUGAUGGGAUUACAGAUGUGUGCCACCACACCUGGCUCAAUGACUUUAUUUUUUUAAAAGUGUGUGGGUAAGGCAAGAUGCCUCCUUCCAUUGCUUUUUUAUCCUUUCUCCUAGGGCAGAGACAGCUUUCUGGGCACCAUCAUGGAAUAAGAGUUGCCCUCAUCAGACACCAGCUGUUCUGUCCCUUUGCCCUUGGACUUGCUGGCCUACAGAACAAACUCCUAUUCCUUUAAAAGUUACUGUUGCCGGUAUUUUGUUACAGUGGUCUAAGUGGACUCAGGAGCUUCUACCACUCUCCCAGUUCUGCCUUCUGAGUUGAGACAGAAAGUCCCACCCCAGGACAACCGUGACAGCCUUCCCACCCUCUAGACUUCCCCAAGGAAAAGACUUAUUCUAGUUCCCCCAACUCAAGAAGCUUCAUUCCCACCUCUCAAAUCUCUUGUUUCUUUUGAUGAAGCUGUUCUUCAGCACAGUUCUAAGCAUCUCUGUCUCUGCAGAAACACAGGUUAUCAAGCCUGUAACUGCCAUUUUUUUUUUUCCUGGAUUCUGUAUUUUGUCUAAGUAAUUCCUCAUUGAAAUUAUAAACUCUCUACCUUAGAAA